RNAcentral lists this transfer RNA (76 nucleotides) under Lactococcus petauri. Its description in RNAcentral is "tRNA-Met". It matches the Rfam family "tRNA". From Rfam's summary of the family: Transfer RNA (tRNA) molecules are approximately 80 nucleotides in length. Their secondary structure includes four short double-helical elements and three loops (D, anti-codon, and T loops). The record is from RNAcentral. Lineage: Bacteria; Bacillati; Bacillota; Bacilli; Lactobacillales; Streptococcaceae.
UGGUUCUUUAACUUAGCUGGUUAAAGUCCUCCGCUCAUAACGGAGUUAGCGCUGGUUCGAAUCCAGCAAGAACCAU